Molecule: ribosomal RNA, 540 nt
Filed under: uncultured bacterium
Lineage: Bacteria
Description: partial 16S ribosomal RNA
Rfam family: Bacterial small subunit ribosomal RNA
Source: RNAcentral
UAGGGAAUCUUCCACAAUGGACGCAAGUCUGAUGGAGCAACGCCGCGUGAGUGAAGAAGGUUUUCGGACCGUAAAGCUCUGUUGUUGGUGAAGAAGGAUAGAGGUAGUAACUGGCCUUUAUUUGACGGUAAUCAACCAGAAAGUCACGGCUAACUACGUGCCAGCAGCCGCGGUAAUACGUAGGUGGCAAGCGUUGUCCGGAUUUAUUGGGCGUAAAGCGAGCGCAGGCGGAAGAAUAAGUCUGAUGUGAAAGCCCUCGGCUUAACCGAGGAAUUGCAUCGGAAACUGUUUUCUUGAGUGCAGAAGAGGAGAGUAGAACUCCAUGUGUAGCGGUGGAAUGCGUAGAUAUAUGGAAGAAUACCAGUGGCGAAGGCGGCUCUCUGGUCUGCAACUGACGCUGAGGCUCGAAAGCAUGGGUAGCGAACAGGAUUAGAUACCCUGGUAGUCCAUGCCGUAAACGAUGAGUGCUAAGUGUUGGGAGGCUUCCGCCUCUCAGUGCUGCAGCUAACGCAUUAAGCACUCCGCCUGGGGGAGUACGAC